CAUCACCGUACGGCGAAGCCUGCGUGACGUCACCGUACGGCGCAUCCCAUCGCCUCUCUGCAAGUCAGGCUUGGCUCUUGUUUCGCUGAGGAAGAAAACGAAAAGCAUUUCACCUACACAGAUGGUUAUUUGGACAGAAUUGGAAGGCCAGAGGAAUGAUUUGGGAAUGCUGAAGAUGACUGAUUCUUUCUGAGGUUGGCUAAAAUUUGAGCAGUCAACCAUCUCCCCUCCACAUCAGAUGACUAUGUGCUGUGGUUUUUGCACCUGAUCUAUCAGGAAAAUCCUGUGAUUCAAUGGGGAUGACAGGUAAACAGGUAUUUGGUGCUGAGCAGCCUGCAUUCUACAGUUUUUGGGGUGCAGUUACUGUGAGCUACUCUCACAACUGCCUGCCUUUUACAACUGCACUGGACAACGCUGCCAGUCCGCACUGCUACCGAUGCCAGGAGAGAGUCAUCACUCAAGGCAACUGAAAUUACAGGCAAACAAGUUUGCAGAAGUCCUUGAGGAGGCUGAUUUCCUUCCGAGAAAUAAUAAAUGCACCAUUAAUGCCAUCUCUGAAGUCAUUCUGAACAUGCUCCUGUUUGAAGUUCUCCAGUACAUAU
Molecule: long non-coding RNA, 602 nt
Organism: Carcharodon carcharias (great white shark)
Lineage: Eukaryota; Metazoa; Chordata; Chondrichthyes; Lamniformes; Lamnidae
Exons: 4
Source: RefSeq, a predicted model, not a curated record